AUGCCUAGUCUCGUGGGCUCGGAGAUGUGUAUAAGAGACAGUUUAAAGAGUGCGUAACAGCUCACUAGUCGAGAAAACCUGCGCCGAAAAUUUAACGGGGCUAAAACACGACACCGAAGCUACGGCUUGACAGCUAACGCUGUUAGGGGUAGAGGAGCAUCCUGCAAGGACGAAGCCAAAGUGGAAACGAUGGUGGACGAAACAGGAGAGAGAAUGCCGGAAUGAGUAGCGAGAUAGAAGUAAGAAACUUCUAGGCCGAAUAUCUAAGGUUUCCUGGGUAAAGCUAAUCUUCCCAGGGUUAGUCGGGGCCUAAGGCGAGGACGAAAGUCGUAGUCGAUGGAUAACAGGUUGAUAUUCCUGUACUACGUAUCAUCAGAACUGUGGGGACGCAGGAGGAUAGGAAAACCGGGGAAUGGAAAAACCCGGCUAAGCACAAAGUCAAGGGAGAUAGGCAAAUCCGUCUCUUGAUGAUGAAGUGCGAUGGGGACUGAACAAAAGUAGGGAAGUUUCCGAAUCCACACUGUCGAGAAAAGCCGCUAUUGUGUGAUACGUACCCGUACCGUAAACCGACACAGGUAGAUGAGGAGAAAAUCCACAGGCCGACGGGAGAAGUGUUGUUAAGGAACUCGGCAAAAUGACCCCGUAACUUAGGGAGAAGGGGAGCCACGCAAGUGGCCGCAGAAAAGAGGCUCAAGCGACUGUUUAGCAAAAACACAGGUCUCUGCGAAACCGAAAGGUGAAGUAUAGGGGCUGACACCUGCCCGGUGCUGGAAGGUUAAAAGGAGAGGUUCGACGUAAGUCAAAGCUUUGAAUUCAAGCCCCAGUAAACGGCGGCCGUAACUAUAACGGUCCUAAGGUAGCGAAAUUCCUUGUCAGGUAAGUUCUGACCCGCACGAAAGGUGUAACGAUUUGAGCACUGUCUCGACAACACGCCCGGUGAAAUUGAAGAACCAGUGAAGAUACUGGUUACCCGCAACAGGACGGAAAGACCCCAUGGAGCUUUACUGCAGCCUGAUACUGGGAUUCGAUGAUAUAUGUACAGGAUAGGAGGGAGACUAGGAAUCCGGGACGCCAGUUUCGGAGGAGUCGACGGUGGGAUACCUCUCUUAUGUUAUUGGAUUUCUAACUUGGCACCGUGAUCCGGUGUGAGGACAAUGUCAGGCGGGCAGUUUGACUGGGGCGGUCGCCUCCUAAAAGGUAACGGAGGCGCUCGAAGGUCACCUCAGAAUGAUUGGAAACCAUUCAAAGAGUGUAAAGGCAAAAGGUGGCUUGACUGCGACACCGACGGGUGGAGCAGGUACGAAAGUAGGACUUAGUGAUCCGGUGGUAUAAAGUGGGAUUGCCAUCGCUCAACGGAUAAAAGCUACCCUGGGGAUAACAGGCUUAUCACUCCCAAGAGUUCACAUCGACGGAGUGGUUUGGCACCUCGAUGUCGGCUCAUCGCAUCCUGGGGCUGAAGUAGGUCCCAAGGGUUGGGCUGUUCGCCCAUUAAAGCGGUACGCGAGCUGGGUUCAGAACGUCGUGAGACAGUUCGGUCCCUAUCCGUUGUGGGCGCAGGAAAUUUGAGAGGAGCUGUCCUUAGUACGAGAGGACCGGGAUGGACGUACCUCUGGUGUACCGGUUGCAGACCAACUGCACAGCCGGGUAGCUAUGUAUGGAACGGAUAAACGCUGAAGGCAUCUAAGCGUGAAGCCGCCCUCAAGAUAAGAUUUCCCAUUCU
RNAcentral lists this ribosomal RNA (1720 nucleotides) under human gut metagenome. RNAcentral's name for it is "bacterial LSU rRNA". It matches the Rfam family "Bacterial large subunit ribosomal RNA", at positions 1073 to 2820 of the family's 2925-position model. The record is from RNAcentral.